UACGGAGGGUGCAAGCGUUGUCCGGAAUCACUGGGCGUAAAGGGCGCGUAGGCGGCUCGGUAAGUAGGGGGUGAAAUCCUGCGGCUUAACCGCAGGGCUGCCUUCUAAACUGUCGAGCUCGAGCACGGUAGAGGCAGAUGGAAUUCCCGGUGUAGCGGUGGAAUGCGUAGAGAUCGGGAAGAACAUCGGUGGCGAAGGCGGCCUGCUGGGCUCUUGCUGACACUGAGGCGCGACAGCGUGGGGAGCAAACAGG
Molecule: ribosomal RNA, 253 nt
Filed under: uncultured bacterium
Lineage: Bacteria
Description: partial 16S ribosomal RNA
Rfam family: Bacterial small subunit ribosomal RNA
Source: RNAcentral